RNAcentral lists this ribosomal RNA (348 nucleotides) under Triticum aestivum (bread wheat). RNAcentral's name for it is "partial small subunit ribosomal RNA". The record is from RNAcentral. Lineage: Eukaryota; Viridiplantae; Streptophyta; Magnoliopsida; Poales; Poaceae.
AUGAUCGACAUGCUCAAGGCGGCGCUUGCAGGGCGGCACUCACGGCCGAGCAGCGAACCCAGCUACCGACCAGAGGGCACCAAGGCCUCAUCAUUCACAUAUGACCAGGACGGCAAAGAGCGUGCUGUGGCCGAGAUCAAUUUUCUCAGCCUCACAGACUAUGUGGGCCCCAAGCAGAAGACCGGCUGGGGAGUGGCUGCUCUGUGGAGCGGCAACAAGUCCAUGUAUACCUUGAUGAAUGUCCUGCAAAUGCUGAAUAGCAACCAGAGCUUUGUGCCAUACAGGCAGAGCAAAGUUACUCGUAUUCUCUGCAAGACUCUUUGUUCAAGACGAGCGGGGCUGUGGUGA